RNAcentral lists this ribosomal RNA (229 nucleotides) under uncultured bacterium. RNAcentral's name for it is "partial 16S ribosomal RNA". It matches the Rfam family "Bacterial small subunit ribosomal RNA", at positions 568 to 796 of the family's 1533-position model. The record is from RNAcentral.
UGCGCAGGCGGAAGAAUAAGUCAGUGGUGAAAUACUGCCGCUCAACGGUAGGGCUGCCAUUGAUACUGUUUUUCUUGAGUAUGGUUGAGGUAGGCGGAAUGUGCGGUGUAACGGUGAAAUGCAUAGAUAUCGCCCAGAACGCCGAUUGCGAAGGCAGCUUACUAAACCAUUACUGACGCUGAGGCACGAAAGCGUGGGUAGCGAACAGGAUUAGAUACCCUGGUAGUCC